Long non-coding RNA from Aplysia californica (California sea hare), 876 nucleotides. RefSeq lists it as uncharacterized. The transcript has 3 exons. The record is from RefSeq and is a predicted model, not a curated record. Lineage: Eukaryota; Metazoa; Mollusca; Gastropoda; Aplysiida; Aplysiidae.
AAAUCCCGUGGUCCCUAUUAUACCUGGAGCAUAAACAACGUUACUGAAGUGUCCCCUUGGCAAGUCUACUUUAGAGUAACGGUCAUUUCAUAGGCGAGGGUACCUCCUCUAUCACCCCAUUUGGAAAGGGCCCCCGCAUACCGCCAGAGCCUCGUCACCUCAUGUUCACAGUGUGUGUGACCGCUCUUUUAUGCCUGUUUGUAGGGGGCUGACAGUGCGAUACGAUUUAUCAUCGUCACUUGCUCCUACCUGGGCCAAGGGAGUUUUGUGGUCAAGUCCCGAUCGCCUGAGUCCCAACCCAAGCUUGAUUCGGACUGAUCUGUUAAGUGUUUCAACUUCUCCUAUGCGAACUUAUCUCCGGAGUGUUGUGACGAGCAUUUCUGACGAAUUAAUGUGCAGUGGAGUGUGGGGGGAGUUUACUUUUGCUCGUGGUGUCGCGUUGAGGGGGAGGGAGGGUUUACCGUUGGCCGAGGAGUGGUGAGGGUGUUUUGUUUUACGGAGCUUGCCAAGAGGACACUAUAGUUACAAGUCGGUCUUUGAAAGGACCCAACGGAUUACACUGUACGUCUCAGACAGUUCUUUUUGGAUUCGGAUUUUUUUUUCACGAACGAGGUCACGGCUCAGAGCGAUCAGUCUUCGGCAGUUGGACGUUCCUUUGGUCACGCGCCCAGCGCUCACACACGACGGAAGGACCGCUGGCAUUUUAACAACGUUGUUGAACUAGAUUCUCUUCCCCGCGACACUAACCCUUGUCCGCACAGUAGACAACAAUUCAUUUGUUAUCAGUGCUUUCGGAAAACAAUACACGUUUCCGAACGAAAUUUUUACAGUGUCAAGAGUGAUUUGAAGUGUCAUCUCUUAAAAUAGAAUAGGGAG